Molecule: ribosomal RNA, 496 nt
Filed under: uncultured bacterium
Lineage: Bacteria
Description: partial 16S ribosomal RNA
Rfam family: Bacterial small subunit ribosomal RNA
Source: RNAcentral
AACGAACGCUGGCGGCGCGUCUUACGCAUGCAAGUCGAACGGCAAGAGAGGAGCUCGCUUCUCUCCUAGAGUGGCGGACUGGUGAGGAACACGUGGGUAAUCUACCCUUAAGAUGGGGAUAGCUGCUAGAAAUAGCAGGUAAUACCGAAUACACUCGGCAUAUCACAAGAGGUGUUGAGGAAAGGAAGCUACGGCUUCGCUUGAGGAUGAGCUUGCGUCCCAUUAGCUAGUUGGUGAGGUAAAGGCCCACCAAGGCGACGAUGGGUAUCCGGCCUGAGAGGGUGAACGGACACAUUGGGACUGAGAUACGGCCCAAACUCCUACGGGAGGCAGCAGCUAAGAAUAUUCCGCAAUGGACGGAAGUCUGACGGAGCGACGCCGCGUGGAUGAAGAAGGCUGAAAAGUUGUAAAAUCCUUUUGUUGAUGAAGAAUAAGGGUGAGAGGGAAUGCUCAUCUGAUGACGGUAAUCGACGAAUAAGCCCCGGCUAAUUACGUG